UACGUAGGGGGCUAGCGUUGUCCGGAAUCAUUGGGCGUAAAGGGCGCGUAGGCGGCUAGGUAGGUCCGCUGUGAAAACUCGAGGCUCAACCUCGAGAGGUCGGUGGAAACCAUCUAGCUAGAGUCCGGAAGAGGAGAAUGGAAUUCCUGGUGUAGCGGUGAAAUGCGCAGAUAUCAGGAAGAACACCCGUGGCGAAGGCGGUUCUCUGGGACGGUACUGACGCUGAGACGCGAAAGCGUGGGGAGCGAACAGG
RNAcentral lists this ribosomal RNA (253 nucleotides) under uncultured bacterium. Its description in RNAcentral is "partial 16S ribosomal RNA". It matches the Rfam family "Bacterial small subunit ribosomal RNA", at positions 524 to 776 of the family's 1533-position model. The record is from RNAcentral.